GAUGGCUGAGGCAAUAGGGGAGCUCGGGCAACCGAGUGAAGGUCAUGAUUCUAGGCUGCCAAGAAAAACUUCUAAACGCGAAGCAGACCGACCGUACUACAAACCGACACAGGUGGGUGGGGUGAAUAACCUAAGGCGCUCGAGAUAACUCUUGUUAAGGAACUCGGCAAAUUAGUCCCGUAACUUCGGGAAAAGGGACGCCUUUUUAGUGUGAAGUAGAACAUAUGGAGCAUGAAGAGGUCGCAGAGAAAUGGGCCAAGCGACUGUUUAGCAAAAACACAGGGCUCUGCAAAAUCGUAAGAUAAAGUAUAGGGUCUGACACCUGCCCGGUGCUGGAAGGUUAAAAGGAGAGGUUAGCGUGAUUUAUCAUGCGAAGCUUUGAAUUGAAGCCCCAGUAAACGGCGGCCGUAACUAUGACGGUCCUAAGGUAGCGAAAUUCCUUGUCAGGUAAGUUCUGACCUGCACGAAUGGUGUAACGACUUGGUCACUGUCUCAACAAGAGGCUCGGUGAAAUUGUAAUGUUAGUGAAGAUGCUGACUACCUGUAGUUGGACGGAAAGACCCCGUGCACCUUUACUGUACCCUGACACUGUGAUUUGGCAACGUAUGUGUAGGAUAGGUGGGAGACUUUGAAGUUGGGACGCCAGUCUCGAUGGAGUCGUUGUUGAAAUACCACCCUUACUUUGUUGGAUUACUAACUGAUACCCGUUAUCCGGGAUCAGGACAAUGUCUGGCGGGCAGUUUGACUGGGGCGGUCGCCUCCUAAAGAGUAACGGAGGCGCCCAAAGGUUCCCUCAGCACGGACGGAAAUCGUGCGCAGAGUGCAAACGCAUAAGGGAGCUUGACUGCGAGACAAACAAGUCGAGCAGAAACGAAAGUUGGGGUUAGUGAUCCGGUGGUCCCGAGUGGAAGGGCCAUCGCUCAACGGAUAAAAGGUACGCCGGGGAUAACAGGCUGAUAGUGCCCAAGAGUUCAUAUCGACGGCACUGUUUGGCACCUCGAUGUCGACUCUCCGCAUCCUGGGGCUGGAGAAGGUCCCAAGGGUUUGGCUGUUCGCCAAUUAAAGCGGAACGCGAGUUGGGUUCAAAACGUCGUGAGACAGUUUGGUCCCUAUCCUCUACAGGCGUUGGAGAUUUGAGGAGAUCUGUUCCUAGUACGAGAGGACCGGAAUGGACGAACCUCUGGUACAUCGGUUAUCGCGCCAGCGGUACAGCCGAGUAGCUAUGUUCGGAAGGAAUAACCGCUGAAAGCAUCUAAGCGGGAAAUCUACUCCAAGAUGAGAUCUCCCCGGGGGUUUAACCCCCCUGAAGACUCCUCGAAGACUACGAGGUCGAUAGGAUGGCGGUGUAAGUGCGGUAACGUAUUCAGCCUACCAUUACUAAUCGGUCGUGAGGCUC
RNAcentral lists this ribosomal RNA (1396 nucleotides) under metagenome. RNAcentral describes it as "bacterial LSU rRNA". It matches the Rfam family "Bacterial large subunit ribosomal RNA", at positions 1551 to 2925 of the family's 2925-position model. The record is from RNAcentral.